UACAGAGGUCUCAAGCGUUGUUCGGAUUCAUUGGGCGUAAAGGGUGCGUAGGUGGCGCGCUAAGUCAGGUGUGAAAUUUCGGAGCUUAACUCCGAAACUGCAUUUGAUACUGGCGUGCUUGAGGACUGGAGAGGAGACUGGAAUUCACGGUGUAGCAGUGAAAUGCGCAGAUAUCGGGAAGAACACCUGUGGCGAAGGCGGCUCUCUGGGACGGUACUGACGCUGAGACGCGAAAGCGUGGGGAGCAAACAGG
RNAcentral lists this ribosomal RNA (253 nucleotides) under uncultured bacterium. RNAcentral describes it as "partial 16S ribosomal RNA". It matches the Rfam family "Bacterial small subunit ribosomal RNA", at positions 524 to 776 of the family's 1533-position model. The record is from RNAcentral.